Molecule: long non-coding RNA, 2611 nt
Organism: Chinchilla lanigera (long-tailed chinchilla)
Lineage: Eukaryota; Metazoa; Chordata; Mammalia; Rodentia; Chinchillidae
Exons: 3
Source: RefSeq, a predicted model, not a curated record
UACGGCUGUCAGAGUUGAGUGUUCAGGCGCACAUGUUGUACACUGCAUAACUCUACAGAGUGCUAUUGUCCAGUACUCCAGCGUGGAUGACAAUUCCUGGAGCUGGGCAAUGCACAACAUGUUCAUCUGCAUAACUCAGACUGUUUCUAAUCUAUCUGAUGUGAAGAUAGUCGCUAGUGUCUCACCUCCUGGGUGUAUGUAAAAUGGAAGGGGUACAGCAUCAAACAGGAAUACCAAACAGAACACACCUGGUCUUUGGAGCUUGUCUGUAACUGGUGUUUUGCUGGGAGUGUUAACAAGCACUCAUGGGCACUCCUGGUCAUUCACUUCAUAAAUCUGUAUUAAACACUCAUGGGGAACAGGGCAGGACACAGUGGAGAGCAGGGUUUCUGUCGAGCCCAGCACAGUUCGAGGACACAGAUAAGACAAGCCAGUGUCAGAGGGCGUUACACACCACGAGGACCGUGACAGAGAGCUGGGCAGGUGGGGAGAGUGGACGUUGCCCUGGUGAUGAGGGAAGGCAUCUCUGGGGAGUAACAUCGGAGUUGUCACUGAAUGACAAGAAAGAGCCAGCCAAGUGGACGUGGGGGCUGUGUCCUCCUAGGUCUCCUCACCUGAGGCUGGUGGGGGAGGGUGAAGCCACCGCAUGUUCUUGACUUCUCUUUGUCACUUGCUGUCCUAUCUCAGCAUGCCUCUCUACGUCCCUUCACCUGAGAAGAAAGUCCCCCAUGGCUUUCCUUCUGGAGAAUAAAGGUGACAGCUGGUGACUCCUCUUUCAGACCUGAGCUCUUCCUCUGCCCUUCCCACUACAGACCCGAGGAUGGAGGAGUCACAAAAUUCUCUUCCCAAGGGAUGUUUAGGCUGCUUCCUGCUGCAGGGUUUGGAGGAAGGCACUCAGUCCCCCUGCAUCUCAGUCUCCUCAUUCCUGCUAAGAGGAAGAGCAAUGGCCUCAGCCCCUAGAGCACCUGCAAGGACUUGUGAAUAUCUACAGUCAGCGUGCACAACCUGGUGGCAUUAAGUCCAGUCACGUUGUCCUACAACUGUUGCCAUCAUCCACGUGCAGAUUUUCCAUCUCGCGACCCUGAAACUCUGUCUCCACUCAGUACGAAGCUGCUUCCUGCCUUCCCAGCCCCUGGCAACCCACAUUGUGCAUUCUGUCUCUGUGAAUUUGACGGGACCUAGGUGCUUCACGGACGUGGAAUCAGACCGUACUCGUCUUUGUGUGACAGGUGUUGGAAUUCCCUUCCCUUAUUAGGCCUAAUCCCGUUCUCCCAGAUGCAUCUCACCUGCAUCUUGCUCACCCACUGGUUGCUCCCACCGCCGGGCUUGGGGAACCACAGUGCCCUGAAUAAGGGUACUCAGGUGUCCGAGGACUCUGCUUCUUGUCUUGUGUUUGUAUCCGGAAGCGGGCUUGCUGGCUCACCAGGUAAUUCUAUGUUUAAGUUUGUGAGAAACUUGCACCCAUUUUCCACAGUGCCUGUACCACUUGACCUGUUGGGCUUUUUUUUUUAAAUCCAAGGCUAUGUCACAAAUUUCAGGUCCCUAAGUCCCCUAGUUUCCUUUUUUCUUCUUUACAGUGGCUUAGGGUUGUCACAACGUUCCCAUUACCUGUUGCCACACUGACGGUGAGGUGGUGCUGUCGUCCUCCUCAUGUAGAAGAGACAUCUAGCCGCUGUUCUCACCAGCCCUGCCAUUCACUUUCCUGGUUACCACCCCACAGUAUCCCCCCGGGGAGCCCCUCUAUCCCCACUCCCAGGACACACUGAUCCAGUGGGGGCAACCUUGGGCUUUGGCUCCAGAGAGGAAAGGCAGAUAUCCCUUCCCCCUGGACAUGGUGACUGCUUCUGUGGGAGACCCAUGACCCAAACGUAGCCAAUCCCAAGCCUCUGAGCACCUGCUGGAAAUUUGCUAAGUGUUUGGGGAAGUGGAGUUUGCCUUCAACUGGAACUGUGAACCUUCAACUGUGGGUGGCCCUUUUUGCUACCUUGUAGGAUGAAGCCAACUUGGAAGCAAGCAAAAAGAGAUAGACUCUAAAUAAUAUCCCUGGAACAACUGGAUCUAAAUGUACCUGAAGCUAUUAGAUCUGCUCCUUGAUUGUUUAAGUACAAGAGCCACUAAAUCUCUCUCUUAGCUUAAAUAAUUGAGUCAAAGUUCUCCCUCUCAUACCUGAAGAGAUUCCCGACUAAUUCAGAAGGCGUAAGAAACUUGCCAAAGAUCAGCCAGAAAACAGUGGUGCCAAGUCUAUACCCCUACAGGAGUCCUGACUUAGAUCUGGAUCCCAGCUUGGGAUUAGCACUAACCGCUGUUCCUCUCUCUCUCUCUCAGAACUCUGGGGUGGGCACCCUGGGACAGGAGGUGGGUCCUGCUUGAGGCACUGCAGGAGACAGCAGUCACGGAGCGCAGUGUCUGAGACCUGAACCCGUGCCAGAGCUGGCAAAUUAUGGCUCAAGGGCAUUUUGCCCACCUCCCGCUUUUGUACAGGCUGCUAGCUGAGAGUAGACUGCUUUUCACAUUUCUAAAUGGUUGAAAGAAAUCAAGAGAAUAUUUUGUGGCAUGCAAAAAUUUGUAUGAAAUUAAAAUUUCACCAUCCAUAAAGAAUGUUUUCUUGGAA